This 207-nucleotide ribosomal RNA is filed under the name uncultured bacterium. RNAcentral describes it as "partial 16S ribosomal RNA". It matches the Rfam family "Bacterial small subunit ribosomal RNA", at positions 568 to 774 of the family's 1533-position model. The record is from RNAcentral.
CGCGUAGGCGGAGGACCAAGUCCGGGGUGAAAUCUUUCGGCUCAACCGGAAAACUGCCUUGGAUACUGGUCUUCUUGAGGGAGGUAGGGGCAGGUGGAACUUCCGGUGGAGCGGUGAAAUGCGUUGAUAUCGGAAGGAACGCCGGUGGCGAAAGCGGCCUGCUGGAUCUCUUCUGACGCUGAGGCGCGAAAGCUAGGGUAGCGAACG